Molecule: ribosomal RNA, 253 nt
Filed under: uncultured bacterium
Lineage: Bacteria
Description: partial 16S ribosomal RNA
Rfam family: Bacterial small subunit ribosomal RNA
Source: RNAcentral
UACGUAGGGAGCAAGCGUUGUUCGGAUUUACUGGGCGUAAAGGGCGCGUAGGCGGCGCGGUAAGUCACUUGUGAAAUCUCUGAGCUUAACUCAGAACGGCCAAGUGAUACUGCAGUGCUUGAGUGUGGAAGGGGCAAUCGGAAUUCUUGGUGUAGCGGUGAAAUGCGUAGAUAUCAAGAGGAACACCUGAGGUGAAGACGGGUUGCUGGGCCAACACUGACGCUGAUGCGCGAAAGCCAGGGGAGCAAACGGG